GUCGAGAGGGUUCGGCCCUCGGCGUACUGCUCAGUAACACGUGGAUAACCUACCCUGGGAUGGGGGAUAAUCUCGGAAAACUGAGGAUAAUACCCCAUAGGUCUGGGAGGCUGGAAUGCGCCCAGACUAAAAACUCCGGUGUCCCAGGAUGGGUCUGCGGCCUAUCAGGUUGUAGUGGGUGUAAAGGACCCACUAGCCGACGACGGGUACGGGCCAUGGGAGUGGUAGCCCGGAGAUGGAUUCUGAGACACGAAUCCAGGCCCUACGGGGCGCAGCAGGCGCGAAAACUUCGCAAUGCGCGAAAGCGCGACGAGGGGAUUCCAAGUGCAUGCACUCAGUGCAUGCUGUUUUCCAGUGUAAACAGCUGGGAGAGUAAGGGCUGGGUAAGACUGGUGCCAGCCGCCGCGGUAAUACCAGCGGCCCUAGUGGUGAUCGUUAUUAUUGGGCCUAAAGCGU
RNAcentral lists this ribosomal RNA (456 nucleotides) under uncultured archaeon. RNAcentral describes it as "bacterial SSU rRNA". It matches the Rfam family "Archaeal small subunit ribosomal RNA", at positions 57 to 518 of the family's 1478-position model. The record is from RNAcentral.